UACGAGGGGGGCAAAUGUUGUUCGGAAUCACUGGGCGUAAAGGGAGCGUAGGCGGGUUCUUAAGUAAGGUGUUUAAUCCCGGGGCCCAACCCCGGACCGGCACUUUAAACUGGGAAUCUUGAAUAGUGGAGAGGUCAGUGGAAUUGGGGGUGUAGCGGUGGAAUGCGUAGAGAUCCCCAAGAACACCAGUUGCGAAAGCGGCACACUGGACCUUGUCUGACGCUGAGGCACGAAAGCCAGGGGAGCAAACGGG
Molecule: ribosomal RNA, 253 nt
Filed under: uncultured bacterium
Lineage: Bacteria
Description: partial 16S ribosomal RNA
Rfam family: Bacterial small subunit ribosomal RNA
Source: RNAcentral